RNAcentral lists this ribosomal RNA (465 nucleotides) under uncultured bacterium. RNAcentral describes it as "partial 16S ribosomal RNA". It matches the Rfam family "Bacterial small subunit ribosomal RNA", at positions 28 to 507 of the family's 1533-position model. The record is from RNAcentral.
GACGAACGCUGGCGGCGUGCUUAACACAUGCAAGUCGAACGGAAAGGCCCUGCUUGCAGGGUACUCGAGUGGCGAACGGGUGAGUAACACGUGGGUGAUCUGCCCUGCACUUCGGGAUAAGCCUGGGAAACUGGGUCUAAUACCGGAUAGGAGCCAUUUUUAGUGUGAUGGUUGGAAAGUUUUUUCGGUGUAGGAUGAGCUCGCGGCCUAUCAGCUUGUUGGUGGGGUAAUGGCCUACCAAGGCGGCGACGGGUAGCCGGCCUGAGAGGGUGGACGGCCACAUUGGGACUGAGAUACGGCCCAGACUCCUACGGGAGGCAGCAGUGGGGAAUAUUGCACAAUGGGCGCAAGCCUGAUGCAGCGACGCCGCGUGGGGGAUGACGGCCUUCGGGUUGUAAACUCCCUUCGCUAGGGACGAAGCUUUUUGUGACGGUACCUAGAUAAAAAGCACCGGCUAACUACGUG